Molecule: long non-coding RNA, 477 nt
Organism: Eucalyptus grandis
Lineage: Eukaryota; Viridiplantae; Streptophyta; Magnoliopsida; Myrtales; Myrtaceae
Exons: 3
Source: RefSeq, a predicted model, not a curated record
GACCACCCAAGUCUUGCACUUCAAAAAUAUGAUAUUUAUCUGCUUUUUCUGCAGAGAACAAUGAUCUUGGAUGUCGACUGUAGCAGUGAGUCCAAUUGACUUGCAUAAGAACGUGACUUGAAACAUCAAACAGAAAGCUUUUAGAGACCAGCAUUGCACAUCUUUUCUUGAGUACCUCCAAUUUUCAGCAAUAGCAGGGUCUUCAGUGAAAGACAGAGCGUCGACACUCUUCAUGACAUAUGUCAACAUUGCUCCUCCUGAUACCAGAAGAAAAAGGAUGUGCAGGGUGAGCAGAUCAGAGAUUCAAGUUGUUGCUAGAAUUGUUGCUUCACUCAGAGAUUAAAGUUGCUGGGGCCAAGGUGAGAAAAGAACACUGAAAUAUAGCUUCCCAAUAUAACCGAAUUUGGUAAACUGCAGAUGUUAGAACCGAACUUCUCCCAUCUUUAUGUGCUGGAAAAGAUUUUACAGUUCAUGAAU